UACGAAGGGGGCUAGCGUUGUUCGGAAUUACUGGGCGUAAAGGGCGCGUAGGCGGUGUGUCAAGUCAGGCGUGAAAGCCCCGGGCUCAACCUGGGAACCGCGCUUGAGACUGGCACGCUCGAGUUCGGGAGGAGGAUGGUGGAAUUCCCAGUGUAGAGGUGAAAUUCGUAGAUAUUGGGAAGAACACCGAUGGCGAAGGCAGCCAUCUGGACCGACACUGACGCUGAGGCGGCGAAAGCGUGGGGAGCAAACAGGG
Molecule: ribosomal RNA, 256 nt
Filed under: uncultured bacterium
Lineage: Bacteria
Description: partial 16S ribosomal RNA
Rfam family: Bacterial small subunit ribosomal RNA
Source: RNAcentral